RNAcentral lists this long non-coding RNA (2207 nucleotides) under Homo sapiens (human). RNAcentral describes it as "HSALNT0330224". The record is from RNAcentral. Lineage: Eukaryota; Metazoa; Chordata; Mammalia; Primates; Hominidae.
UGUUAAUUCUCUGAUGGCUGGGUCUGCGUUUUACUCAUCUCUGAACUCCCUAAUCUGGAUCUUUCUCUAGAUCCGAACUUUGUACUGCCAUUACCUGCUCAUUUAUCCAUUUCGCACGGUUUUUGGUGCCCAUGAACCAGACACGAAUUGCCAGUUUAUUCAUUGAUUCAUUCGCUAACUGAACAAAUCUGUAAUAAGCACCUAACUUGGGCUAGCACCCGGCUAGGCUAGGGGGAUUCAAAAGAUGCAUAAUACAUGGCAGUUGCCCUCAAAGCUCACAGAGACGACUGUCCGUAACCAAGCAACUAUAGUUCAAUAUCUUGUGUGCCUUGUCAGGGACAGAUGCAGCCUAUGGGCGCCCCAAGGAGGAGCACCGAACCCCAGAGAGAUAUCUAAGCUGAGGCAUAAAGACACCCGAAAUUGCUGGGUGCAAAGGAGAGGACUGGCAGAGGGCACUGCAUGAGUCUAGGCAUGAGAAAACACCCUGCUAUUGCCUGGGAACCCUAAACCCAGAACCCCUAGUCUGCGCUGCUGGGCUGUCCAGGUGGGGUGGGGUGAGGUGGGGAAGAGGGAACAAAUGAGGGCACAUGAGGAUGAAGAAGUAGACAAGGCCUACAACUCCCCCACCCCCAACAGAGUUUGGACUUUGCUCUGAGGGCAUUAGAUAGUCUCUGACUGGCUUUUCCGAGGAGGUUGACCCUGUUUUGUGUUUUUAAAAGAUUGCUAAAACCAAAGCACAUACCAUUAAUACUAAAUGUGAGGCUGUUGUAGUUGUUGAGGGAAGGAUGGCAGGGAAAAGGUGAGGUAGGCUGGAGAAUGUUAGAGUGAGCUGUUCUUAACUUCACCGACCCAUUGAGAAUCUGAGGGCAGCAUGUUUCUUACGGGCGCAGGAGUCCCUAACCCUAGGAGGUCCAGAGCCAUUGGAAGCCACUGACGGUGUAAGCCCAAGAGGUACAGGAUGAAAUCUGAAUUUUACUGUGACCUGUGUGCCUGCCCAGUGGAGAGUGGAGUGUGUCUGUCACCACAUGCAGAUGUUGAGAAGGUUCUUGGAAACCUGGGUUUGGACGUGGCGUGGAGGUCUGGGCUAGAGAUGAAGAUGAGAAGUUGUCGAUAGACAGAUGAUAAUUGCGGCUGUGGAUGAGGAGAAGCUUACCCAGGGAGAAGAAUGUGGAGAGAGAAGAGAGAUGGCCCAGGAUGAAGUUUUGAGUGGGAGGCAAGGUCUUCUGCUGAGAGUGAAGAAGAGGUGGUGAGGAGUUUGAAAGAAUGAUCAUUCAGAGUGUUGAGAAGCAACUUGCCCACAAAAUCCCCAAUUGCCUGACAGCCUUGGCUCCCCAGUUGAGGUUGGUGGUCCUUAGUGUAUGUGUGUCUCGUCCUGUCCUGCUGAGUGAAUUCCUCCAUCAGGGCUCACCUACCCAGCUGCAGGCUGGGGAGAUGUAUGUACAUAGUGGGAUUUAUCCAGGCCUAGGGCUUUGCCAGAUGGGUGGGGAAAAAAGGGCACAGGAGUCUAAAGUAUUGGCAAAGAGAUGCUAAAAUUCUGGGUCCUGGGAUCUACACUGGGUAGCGAGGGAAGCAAGGCAGAUGGAUGUUUGCAGGGAGAGAGUGGAAUCCUUCACGGGCCAGGCCUUAUGAGGGACCCCUGAGAUCAGAGAGGGCUGGGAGCUGGAACUGGUGGUGACACCCAGGUUUCUGCUUGGGUGGCUGGAUGGGUGAUGAAUGUACAUGAUGAGCAUACAAACCAUUGUAAGAUCUAAGAUUUUUUUCCACCAACACCUCCAGGAACCAGUUUUCAUUUCCUCGAGGGCAUCAAGGCCCCAUUUGAGAAUGCAUGCCUUAGUAGAAUGUAAACUCCCUGAAGGCAGACUUACCUUUGCCUUGUUGGUUGCAUUAUUUCCAACAUUUUGCACAGUGCCUGCAUACAGCAGGCACUUAAUAAGUAUUGGCAAGUGCAGGAAUGGUUACAGACCUCUCCUGAAGAAGAAGGGAGGGCAGGGCAGGCAAGGUGCUCACUGAGUUUAGGCCUGGAGGCAGGAAUGUGGAAGGCUUUGGAAGGCAGUGGGGAAGGAACUGGAUUGUGCAUCCUUGGCUGACCCUGGAAGAAAUGCAGAACUGGAAUUAAAUUAAAGAACGAAAACAAAACCACACCAGGAUUGUCUAAUACCUUCUGUCUGGCAACAGGUUGUUUUUGUUUUGCUCCUAAUAAAAUUCAU